UGGGGAAUAUUGCACAAUGGAGGAAACUCUGAUGCAGCGACGCCGCGUGAGGGAAGAAGGUCUUCGGAUUGUAAACCUCUGUCUUCGGGGACGAUAAUGACGGUACCCGAGGAGGAAGCCACGGCUAACUACGUGCCAGCAGCCGCGGUAAAACGUAGGUGGCAAGCGUUGUCCGGAAUUACUGGGUGUAAAGGGAGCGCAGGCGGGAUCGUAAGUUGGGAGUGAAAUUCAUGGGCUCAACCCAUGACCUGCUUUCAAAACUGCGAUUCUUGAGUGGUGUAGAGGUAGGCGGAAUUCCCGGUGUAGCGGUGGAAUGCGUAGAUAUCGGGAGGAACACCAGUGGCGAAGGCGGCCUACUGGGCACUAACUGACGCUGAGGCUCGAAAGCAUGGGUAGCAAACAGGAUUAGAUACCC
Molecule: ribosomal RNA, 415 nt
Filed under: uncultured bacterium
Lineage: Bacteria
Description: bacterial SSU rRNA
Rfam family: Bacterial small subunit ribosomal RNA
Source: RNAcentral